GUUUGUGUAGCGGAGGAACGGGUGUUUAAUUCCUUAAUUUCUUGCGCCGUCACUUAUCCCCCCUGAAAGAAUAAAGCGUGUUGGUGAUGUGCUUCUGAGACGGAGUUCAAGGCAGACUAGUCAGUGGCCUAUCAUGUCAUUGUGACGGGUUGUGGAAAUGAUCAGUGUGUCAAGCAGUGAGGAUAAUUAGGAUCAACGGGGGCGAGCUGGAAGACAACAAUAGACCCAAACACUUGUUUGGGUCUGUUGUUGU
Molecule: long non-coding RNA, 253 nt
Organism: Sebastes umbrosus (honeycomb rockfish)
Lineage: Eukaryota; Metazoa; Chordata; Actinopteri; Perciformes; Sebastidae
Exons: 3
Source: RefSeq, a predicted model, not a curated record